GCCUGGAUGGCUCAGUCGGUUGAGCGUCCGACUCUUGGUUUCGGCUCAGGUCAUGAUCUCACUGGUUCGUGGGUUCGAGCCCCGCACCGGGCU
RNAcentral lists this transfer RNA (93 nucleotides) under Felis catus (domestic cat). It matches the Rfam family "tRNA". From Rfam's summary of the family: Transfer RNA (tRNA) molecules are approximately 80 nucleotides in length. Lineage: Eukaryota; Metazoa; Chordata; Mammalia; Carnivora; Felidae. The record is from Rfam by way of RNAcentral.